Molecule: unclassified non-coding RNA, 292 nt
Filed under: fungal sp.
Lineage: Eukaryota; Fungi
Description: partial internal transcribed spacer region
Rfam family: Eukaryotic small subunit ribosomal RNA (bases 1-46)
Source: RNAcentral
AAGUCGUAACAAGGUCUCCGUAGGUGAACCUGCGGAGGGAUCAUUAACACGUGUAAAAACGUAUUCUAUUUCUAUACCUAUAUCAACCAAUACCGUGAACUAUGUUAUAUACCCUAUUUUUGAUUUUUUAAACCCUUUUCCAACUUUAUUUUUUUUUUAAAAAUCUUUUUAUCCUUUUCUUUGUUUGUUAUAUUGUUGUUUCACGACACGAUAUAAUAUAUGAAAAAAUGAAUAAGAAAAACCAUAAAAAAAUACAAAAGCACAACUCUUAGCAACGGAUAUCUUGGUUCUC